UGUUAGCAGGAGAAGCGCAAAAAACUUUUCUUACCAGAACGCCUAAUAGCCUUUCCACGGUUUAAGAUCUCGCUGCUGUUUUCAAGAAAUAUGUUAACCGCGAUUAAUUUUAUUCAGGACGUGUGAAAAAAGUAUGAGCCAUCACUGAAUCAGUUUUUAUAUGAAUUUUUUUAUGCACUCAGGGUAAGUUGGAAUCCACUAUUCGAAUAUGAUUGCAACAAUUUCAACUCAUCGAAUUAGUCUUUCGAAGUGGUUCCAAGCGCCAGCUAUUAUGUUUGUUAUUCUUGUAAGAUCUACGUUUGAUCUCAGGGCCGUUUUCGGUGAAAAAAAUCAAUGGAAAAACUGUCGACCUAGAAAAGUGUUCUGCUUGUCUACUGCCCCUGAUUUGAAAGAUUUGAAAACUAUGAAAGGUGUGGGAACACUUUUGGACGAGGAUAUCGAGAGAUAGAAAUCAGUCACAAAGGCGCAGACGUCCUUAAAUGCACUCCGAUGGUGCUCAAAUCAAACAGCACAGCACGUUGCUAGGAAGACGCCCACUUCUAUUUAGUAGUAAGCACUUCACCGACGUGGAUCACUUCCAGUCGAACAUAGUGACAAUUGGUCAUGUCGUAUACGGGAAAAACUAAUACCUCUGUCGCUCCAAAGUCGAUCCCGUAAACCAACUUCGAUCAUUUGGUCAGAAGCUUGCUUCAUUGGUUUCCGUCGAAUGCGAUAGGAAUGAUCCUAACUCGACUGAUUAGUUAACUGCUUUACCAGUGUUUGACUCCUAAAAAGUAUUCAACGCCCAACCACUGGACGAAAUUGCUAGGCCGGACGUUUUAGCGCACAGCUCAAUUUGAAAUAUCAGGAACAUAUGUUGUGAUUUAGAUUAAAUCUUUGUCGGAUCACUGCUGCGAAAACAGCAUAGCUAAGGGUGUUGGAAUUAACACAACACGGAUCAUGAAAGCGUAUAUAAGCCAAUAGGAUUUGGAAU
Topomyia yanbarensis is the source of this 973-nucleotide long non-coding RNA. RefSeq lists it as uncharacterized. NCBI's taxonomy places the organism in Eukaryota, Metazoa, Arthropoda, Insecta, Diptera, Culicidae. The transcript has 3 exons. The record is from RefSeq and is a predicted model, not a curated record.